This 428-nucleotide ribosomal RNA is filed under the name uncultured bacterium. RNAcentral's name for it is "bacterial SSU rRNA". It matches the Rfam family "Bacterial small subunit ribosomal RNA", at positions 354 to 796 of the family's 1533-position model. The record is from RNAcentral.
GUAGGGAAUAUUGCACAAUGGAGGAAACUCUGAUGCAGCGACGCCGCGUGAGUGAUGAAGGCCUUCGGGUUGUAAAGCUCUGUCGUAUGGGAAUAAUAAACUGAAUGUACCAUACAAGAAAGGAUCGGCUAACUUCGUGCCAGCAGCCGCGGUAAGACGAGGGAUCCUAGCGUUGUUCGGAAUCAUUGGGCGUAAAGCGGGCGCAGGUGGCUUGGUAAGUCAAGUGUGAAAGCCCAGGGCUCAACCCUGGAAGUGCAUUUGAUACUGCUAAGCUUGAGUGCGAGAGAGGUUAUCAGAAUUCCUGGUGUAGUGGUGAAAUACGUAGAUAUCAGGAGGAAUACCGGAGGCGAAGGCGGAUAACUGGCUCGACACUGACACUCAGGCCCGAAAGCGUGGGGAUCAAACAGGAUUAGAUACCCCAGUAGUCC